RNAcentral lists this unclassified non-coding RNA (345 nucleotides) under soil metagenome. RNAcentral's name for it is "partial contains 5.8S ribosomal RNA, internal transcribed spacer 2, and large subunit ribosomal RNA". The stretch from base 1 to 119 matches the Rfam family "5.8S ribosomal RNA", at positions 35 to 154 of the family's 154-position model. The record is from RNAcentral.
GAUGAAGAACGUAGUGAAAUGCGAUACGUAAUGUGAAUUGCAAAUUCAGUGAAUCAUCGAGUCUUUGAACGCACAUUGCGCCCCCUGGUAUUCCGGGGGGCAUGCCUGUCCGAGCGUCAUUGCUGCCCUCAAGCACGGCUUGUGUGUUGGGCCCCGUCCUCCGAUCCCGGGGGACGGGCCCGAAAGGCAGCGGCGGCACCGCGUCCUGUCCUCGAGCGUAUGGGGCUUUGUCACCCGCUCUGUAGGCCCGGCCGGCGCUUGCCGAUCAACCCAAAUUUUUAUCCAGGUUGACCUCGGAUCAGGUAGGGAUACCCGCUGAACUUAAGCAUAUCAAUAAGCGGAGGA